RNAcentral lists this ribosomal RNA (518 nucleotides) under Sticta sp. 12 HL-2020. Its description in RNAcentral is "partial large subunit ribosomal RNA". It matches the Rfam family "Eukaryotic large subunit ribosomal RNA", at positions 83 to 603 of the family's 3401-position model. The record is from RNAcentral. Lineage: Eukaryota; Fungi; Ascomycota; Lecanoromycetes; Peltigerales; Lobariaceae.
GUAACGGCGAGUGAAGCGGCAACAGCUCAAAUUUGAAAUCUGGCCUCUUCGGGGUCCGAGUUGUAAUUUGUAGAGGGUGUUUCGGGCGCGAUGCCGGUCUAAGUUCCUUGGAACAGGACGUCGUAGAGGGUGAGAAUCCCGUAUGCGACCGGCGAUCAAGCCCGUGUGAAGCCCCUUCGACGAGUCGAGUUGUUUGGGAAUGCAGCUCAAAAUGGGUGGUAAAUUUCAUCUAAAGCUAAAUAUUGGCCGGAGACCGAUAGCGGACAAGUAGAGUGAUCGAAAGAUGAAAAGCACUUUGGAAAGAGAGUCAAACAGUACGUGAAAUUGUUGAAAGGGAAGCGCUUGCAAUCAGACCGGUCCGGAGGCGAUCAGCCGCUGCUCGUCAGCGGUGCACUCGCCUGCGAUCCGGCCAGCAUCGGUUCGGGCGGCGGGACAAAAGUCCCGGGAAUGUAGCUUCUUUCGGGGAGUCUUAUAGCCCGGGUCGCAAUGCCGCCCGCCCGGACCGAGGACCGCGCUUC